AGAGUUUGAUCCUGGCUCAGGACGAACGCUGGCGGCGUGCUUAACACAUGCAAGUCGAACGGAAAGGCCCUGCUUGCAGGGUACUCGAGUGGCGAACGGGUGAGUAACACGUGGGUGAUCUGCCCUGCACUUCGGGAUAAGCCUGGGAAACUGGGUCUAAUACCGGAUAGGAGCCAUUUUUAGUGUGAUGGUUGGAAAGUUUUUUCGGUGUAGGAUGAGCUCGCGGCCUAUCAGCUUGUUGGUGGGGUAAUGGCCUACCAAGGCGGCGACGGGUAGCCGGCCUGAGAGGGUGGACGGCCACAUUGGGACUGAGAUACGGCCCAGACUCCUACGGGAGGCAGCAGUGGGGAAUAUUGCACAAUGGGCGCAAGCCUGAUGCAGCGACGCCGCGUGGGGGAUGACGGCCUUCGGGUUGUAAACUCCUUUCGCUAGGGACGAAGCUUUUUGUGACGGUACCUAGAUAAGAAGCACCGGCUAACUACGUGCCAGCAGCCGCGGUAAUACGUAGGGUGCGAGCGUUGUCCGGAAUUACUGGGCGUAAAGGGCUCGUAGGUGGUUUGUCGCGUCGUCUGUGAAAUUCCGGGGCAUAACUCCGGGCGUGCAGGCGAUACGGGCAUAACUUGAGUACUGUAGGGGUAACUGGAAUUCCUGGUGUAGCGGUGAAAUGCGCA
RNAcentral lists this ribosomal RNA (671 nucleotides) under uncultured bacterium. Its description in RNAcentral is "bacterial SSU rRNA". It matches the Rfam family "Bacterial small subunit ribosomal RNA", at positions 8 to 692 of the family's 1533-position model. The record is from RNAcentral.